GAUGAACGCUAGCGAUAGGCUUAACACAUGCAAGUCGAGGGGCAGCACAAGGUAGCUUGCUAUCUGGGUGGCGACCGGCGCACGGGUGCGUAACGCGUAUGCAACUUGCCCUAUACAGGAGGAUAACCCGUCGAAAGACGGACUAAUACUGCGUAUGCUCACAACUUGGCAUCAAGUGGUGAGGAAAGAAAUUCGGUAUAGGAUAGGCAUGCGUCCCAUUAGCUUGUUGGUGAGGUAACGGCUCACCAAGGCAACGAUGGGUAGGGGAACUGAGAGGUUGAUCCCCCACACUGGUACUGAGACACGGACCAGACUCGUACGGGAGGGAGCAGUGAGGAAUAUGGGUCAAGGGGCGCGAGCCUGAACCCGCCAAGUCGCGUGAAGGAUGACUGGCUUAUGGAUGGUAAGCUUCUUUUAUACGGGAAUAACAAGAGUCACGGGUGACUCCCUGCAUGUACCGUAUGAAUAAGCAUCGGCUAACUCCGUG
RNAcentral lists this ribosomal RNA (487 nucleotides) under uncultured bacterium. RNAcentral describes it as "partial 16S ribosomal RNA". It matches the Rfam family "Bacterial small subunit ribosomal RNA", at positions 28 to 507 of the family's 1533-position model. The record is from RNAcentral.